AAGUAGUGCGAUUCUGUUACUGGACAAAGUUACAAUUUGUGUAAACCAUUCGGCUAAGGUUUUGUUUUGUUUAUAAACUUUAUGAUGUUAUAUGAUGUUUUGGCUAUUUUCUGUAAUUUUUUCAUGAUUUUUAGGCUUGUCUAACUAUUUUUCAAAAAUCAAAUUUCUUGCUACUGUCAAUCUGCCAGAAUUUGGAAAUUGUAUGUUUAUGCAUGUUCUUGUAUUUUCU
Molecule: unclassified non-coding RNA, 229 nt
Filed under: Hevea brasiliensis (rubber tree)
Lineage: Eukaryota; Viridiplantae; Streptophyta; Magnoliopsida; Malpighiales; Euphorbiaceae
Source: RNAcentral